Molecule: unclassified non-coding RNA, 403 nt
Filed under: soil metagenome
Description: partial contains 5.8S ribosomal RNA, internal transcribed spacer 2, and large subunit ribosomal RNA
Rfam family: 5.8S ribosomal RNA (bases 1-121)
Source: RNAcentral
GAUGAAGAACGCAGCGAAAUGCGAUAAGUAAUGUGAAUUGCAGAAUUCAGUGAAUCAUCGAAUCUUUGAACGCACCUUGCGCCCUUUGGCUAUUCCGAAGGGCAUGCCUGUUUGAGUAUCAUGAACACCUCAACUCUUCACGGCUUGCCGUGAUGAGUUUGGACUUUGGGGGUCUUGCUGGCCUACGAGCCACCUCCUCUCAAAUGUAUUAGCUUUCCGGUGUUUGGUGGCAUCACAGGUGUGAUAACUAUCUACGCUUGUGGUUUUCCACUAGGUAACCUUCAGCAAUGGAGGUUCACCGGAGCUCACAAAUGUCUCUCCUUGCCAAGGACAGAUUUUGACCAUUUGAUCUCAAAUCAGGUAGGACUACCCGCUGAACUUAAGCAUAUCAAUAAGCGGAGGA